This is a non-coding RNA of Callorhinus ursinus (northern fur seal), 1320 nucleotides long. Lineage: Eukaryota; Metazoa; Chordata; Mammalia; Carnivora; Otariidae. The record is from RefSeq and is a predicted model, not a curated record.
GCUCUGCUUCGAGGGAACCCAGACGAAGACAAUCUCUUACCACUAAGACAGUUCCCUCCCACCUUAAGUGUGACGCCACUUGGAGGCACCCAAGUCUGUCUCCUGCACUGGGUUGUAAGCUCUUUGAAGCUCCACAGUACUCAGCACAGUGCUCUCAGACCGAGCUCCCUGUCCUUGGCGCGGAUCUCGUCGCGUUGCUUGUCCACCACCUCCUUCAGCUUCUUCAUCACUUGCCGCUCACGCUCUGACAUGCCUGGGGUGGGGCGAGCGAGACCAGCAGUUCUGGAAGCCAGAAGUUGAAAAUCAGUCCAAAGUCAAGAUGUUGCCGGAACUGUGCUCGCUCCGGAGGUUUCAGGGGAGAACGGGUCCUUUCUUUUUCCAGCUUCUGGUGGCUGCCAGCGUUCCUUGGCUUGUGGCCUCAUCACUCCAGUCCUUGCCUCCGUGGUCCCACGGCCUCCUCCUCUUCUGUGUGUGAGACCUCUCUGUGCCCCCCUCUUGUAAAGACACUUCGAUUGCAUUUAGGACCUGAAUAAUUCAGGAUAACCUCCCCAUCUCAAGAUCUGAAACGAAAUCACAUCUGUAAAGAUUUUACCGUAUAAAGUAACAUCCGCAGGUUUCAGGGAUUAGGGCCUGAUAUUUUGGGGGACCAUUAUUUGGCCUCCUCCAGGCACCGGGGCAGACAGCUAAUCCUUGCUUCCCAGGAGCAGUGGUGGUCAGGCUCAACCGCAGGCUAACUUGGUUCUCCUGUGUUCAGGGGGCAUGGGGCUGAUGUUCCAGGCAUCUGAGAAGAGUCGUUUCUUCUGUGUGUGACUCCUCCACUAUUCCCCUGACACGACUCCCUCGUCCAAGCUGCUCCAUCCCAUCUGAAUCUUUCCCCUCCCCUGCCCUGGAUAUUCCCAAGCAGGUAAUCACCAUGAAGAACGAGCAUCUGUGGUGUCCAGAAAGGUGUGUGAUGCUGCCGGGGCCACAAACCCAGCUAAGACGUGGGUCCUGCCCUUGAAGAUUUUGAGAUUUUAUGUGACAGGCACAAACGCGGAUGUCCCAGAGGGCGGCCAUCCUGCCCCAACCGUCUGUAUGCUAGGGUUCCGCGUGGGAGACGCUCCGGGCUGAUGGAAUAGCCCGGGGGAGUCAGUCCCCCCAGACAUGCACGUUCCCAAAGCACAACUCACUCCCACUAAGCCCAUGAAGGACAAACUGCUUUACAUCCCUGCCCCUAUUUUAGUGUUGUUUCCAGCCACUGGGAAUGGGUGUUAUUACUGUUGGUUUUUAAUGUAUUUUUUUAAAGAUUUAUUUAUUUAUUUAUUUGAGAGAGAGAAUGAG